GUGAGUAAUGUCUGGGAAACUGCCUGAUGGAGGGGGAUAACUACUGGAAACGGUAGCUAAUACCGCAUAACGUCGCAAGACCAAAGAGGGGGACCUUCGGGCCUCUUGCCAUCGGAUGUGCCCAGAUGGGAUUAGCUAGUAGGUGGGGUAACGGCUCACCUAGGCGACGAUCCCUAGCUGGUCUGAGAGGAUGACCAGCCACACUGGAACUGAGACACGGUCCAGACUCCUACGGGAGGCAGCAGUGGGGAAUAUUGCACAAUGGGCGCAAGCCUGAUGCAGCCAUGCCGCGUGUAUGAAGAAGGCCUUCGGGUUGUAAAGUACUUUCAGCGGGGAGGAAGGGAGUAAAGUUAAUACCUUUGCUCAUUGACGUUACCCGCAGAAGAAGCACCGGCUAACUCCGUGCCAGCAGCCGCGGUAAUACGGAGGGUGCAAGCGUUAAUCGGAAUUACUGGGCGUAAAGCGCACGCAGGCGGUUUGUUAAGUCAGAUGUGAAAUCCCCGGGCUCAACCUGGGAACUGCAUCUGAUACUGGCAAGCUUGAGUCUCGUAGAGGGGGGUAGAAUUCCAGGUGUAGCGGUGAAAU
This 585-nucleotide ribosomal RNA is filed under the name Shigella sonnei. RNAcentral describes it as "bacterial SSU rRNA". It matches the Rfam family "Bacterial small subunit ribosomal RNA", at positions 106 to 687 of the family's 1533-position model. Lineage: Bacteria; Pseudomonadati; Pseudomonadota; Gammaproteobacteria; Enterobacterales; Enterobacteriaceae. The record is from RNAcentral.